AAAGGGUCCUGAGGUGGUUUGCCCAGUCUACUGUGAAAGAUCAGGGCUCAACCCUGAAAAUGCGGUGGAAACUAGCAGGCUAGAAUACGGUAGGGGCAGGGGGAAUUCCCGGUGUAGCGGUGAAAUGCAUAGAUAUCGGGAAGAACACCAAUGGCGAAAGCACCCUGCUGGGCCGAUAUUGACACUGACAGACGAAAGCUAGGGGAGCAAAUGGGAUUAGAUACCCCAGU
Molecule: ribosomal RNA, 230 nt
Filed under: uncultured bacterium
Lineage: Bacteria
Description: partial 16S ribosomal RNA
Rfam family: Bacterial small subunit ribosomal RNA
Source: RNAcentral